UUGGAAUGUCAUAGUCUUUUACCUCUCAAAUGUUCUGUUUCUAAUGGUUAGAACUAGGAAGCUGCGGUAGCUAAUUGAGUCUUCUUUUUCCUAAUCUCAGUGUUUGGUACUCUGCGUGAAGGAGUAUAAUUUCCUACCCUAAUUCACCUGUGAUAUAAAAUAUAGGUGUGAAGGGGAGUCCUGCAAAGUGCUGAACACAGCAACCAGCUGUCUCAACAGCAGAGAUUAUUAGGUUACCUAUACAAAUAACACAUUUUAAGAAGUCAAGCCCCAAGGAACUGUUAGGUGGAAAUAUGUAAGUAUUGACAUUCUUGUUAUUUACUUCCUGUUCUGAGCACUUAAUCUGGUUGGUUUCAACUUUAACGUUUUACUCUGGAAUAAGGAAGAUAAAAAG
RNAcentral lists this long non-coding RNA (394 nucleotides) under Cairina moschata (Muscovy duck). Its description in RNAcentral is "domestica (muscovy Duck (domestic type)) lncRNA (ENSCMMG00000014413.1)". Lineage: Eukaryota; Metazoa; Chordata; Aves; Anseriformes; Anatidae. The record is from RNAcentral.